AUGGCCUGUAUGGUGCUUCUUCUUGGGCUCCUCACUUAUGCCUCAGGAGCAGAUUCUCAGAAUGUGGUGACCCCAGAGCCAUCACUAACGAUUUUUCCAGGAGGGACAGUCACACUUACCUGUGCCCUUAGUUCUGGUUCAGUCUCGACAGGUCACUACCCAAGCUGGUACCAGCAGACCCCAGGCCAGCAUCCUCACAUGAUUAUCUACCACACAGAAAGCCACCCCUCAGGGGUCACUGACCUCUUCUCUAGAGCCAUCUCUGGUGACAAAUCCACCCUCACCAUCACAGGGGCCCAGCCUGAGGAUGAGGCUGACUAUUACUGUGUUCUGUAUUUUGAUGGUUAUACUUACACAGUGAUUUAA
This is a non-coding RNA of Lontra canadensis (Northern American river otter), 366 nucleotides long. Lineage: Eukaryota; Metazoa; Chordata; Mammalia; Carnivora; Mustelidae. The record is from the annotation of a RefSeq genome assembly.